RNAcentral lists this transfer RNA (74 nucleotides) under Deltaproteobacteria bacterium. RNAcentral describes it as "tRNA-Arg". It matches the Rfam family "tRNA". Rfam says of the family: Transfer RNA (tRNA) molecules are approximately 80 nucleotides in length. Their secondary structure includes four short double-helical elements and three loops (D, anti-codon, and T loops). Lineage: Bacteria; Pseudomonadati; Myxococcota; Myxococcia. The record is from RNAcentral.
GCUCCCGUAGCUCAGCAGGAUAGAGCAGCGGCUUCCUAAGCCGAAGGUCGACAGUUCGAAUCUGUCCGGGAGUG